AACGGAGGAUGCCAGCGUUAUCCGGAAUGAUUGGGCGUAAAGCGUCCGCAGGUGGCUAGACAAGUCCGCUGUCGAAGCGUGAGGCUUAACCUCAUACAGGCAGAAGAAACUGACCCGCUAGAGGGUGGUAGGGGUAGAGGGAAUUCCCAGUGCAGCGGUGAAAUGCGUAGAUAUUGGGAAGAACACCAGUGGCGAAAGCGCUCUACUGGUCCACACCUGACACUGAGGGACGAAAGCUAGGGGAGCGAAAGGC
This 253-nucleotide ribosomal RNA is filed under the name uncultured bacterium. RNAcentral describes it as "partial 16S ribosomal RNA". It matches the Rfam family "Bacterial small subunit ribosomal RNA", at positions 524 to 776 of the family's 1533-position model. The record is from RNAcentral.